This 470-nucleotide ribosomal RNA is filed under the name uncultured organism. Its description in RNAcentral is "partial 16S ribosomal RNA". It matches the Rfam family "Bacterial small subunit ribosomal RNA", at positions 334 to 796 of the family's 1533-position model. The record is from RNAcentral.
CACUCCUGCGGGAGGCAGCAGUGGGGAAUAUUGCACAAUGGGCGCAAGCCUGAUGCAGCCAUGCCGCGUGUAUGAAGAAGGCCUUCGGGUUGUAAAGUACUUUCAGCGGGGAGGAAGGCGAUAAGGUUAAUAACCUUGUUGAUUGACGUUACCCGCAGAAGAAGCACCGGCUAACUCCGUGCCAGCAGCCGCGGUAAUACGGAGGGUGCAAGCGUUAAUCGGAAUUACUGGGCGUAAAGCGCACGCAGGCGGUCUGUCAAGUCGGAUGUGAAAUCCCCGGGCUCAACCUGGGAACUGCAUUCGAAACUGGCAGGCUAGAGUCUUGUAGAGGGGGGUAGAAUUCCAGGUGUAGCGGUGAAAUGCGUAGAGAUCUGGAGGAAUACCGGUGGCGAAGGCGGCCCCCUGGACAAAGACUGACGCUCAGGUGCGAAAGCGUGGGGAGCAAACAGGAUUAGAUACCCCGGUAGUCC